Molecule: RNA transcript, 2715 nt
Organism: Serinus canaria (Common canary)
Lineage: Eukaryota; Metazoa; Chordata; Aves; Passeriformes; Fringillidae
Gene: ABLIM3
Gene name: actin binding LIM protein family member 3
Exons: 20
Source: RefSeq, a predicted model, not a curated record
CGGCCGCCCCCCGCGUCCCCUCCCCGCCAGCCGUGACCUUGGCAUCUGCCGGCCGCGGGGACGGCGCCGGGGACAGCCGCCGUGGGAUGCGUUAGGCGGCGGAUCGCACGGGAAUAUUCUCCUGGGAGGAGGAGAGCGGCAGCCUCCUCCCGCGGCCGGGGAGCGGCAGGAGAAGCGGAUUUAAAGAGCAUCUUCGCCCCUUUGUUGGAUGAGAAGGACGGGCGAGGAGCGGCAGGAUGAGCACUAGCACAGUUCCCUACCAGCAGAACCCCUACAACCCUGGGAGCAGCUCCUCUGCCAUCCAGUGCUACCGCUGCGGGGACACCUGCAAGGGCGAGGUCGUGCGUGUGCAGAGCAACCACUUCCACAUCCGCUGCUUCACCUGCCAAGUGUGCGGCUGCGACCUGGCCCAGUCGGGUUUCUUCUUCAAGAACCAGGAGUACAUCUGCACCCACGACUACCAGCAGCUCUACGGGACCCGCUGUGACAGCUGCGGGGACUUCAUCACCGGCGAGGUCAUCUCUGCCCUGGGCAGGACCUACCACCCCAAGUGCUUUGUCUGCAGCACCUGCAGGAAGCCGUUCCCCAUCGGGGACAAGGUGACGUUCAGCGGGAAGGACUGCGUCUGCCAGAACUGCUCCCACGCCCUCCUCAGCACCAAGCCCAUCAAGAUCCACGGGCCCAGCCACUGCGCCGGCUGCAAGGAGGAGAUCAAGCAGGGCCAGUCGCUGCUGGCCCUGGAGAAGCAGUGGCACGUCAGCUGCUUCAAGUGCCAAACGUGCGGGGUCAUCCUCACCGGCGAGUACAUCAGCAAGGAUGGCAUCCCGUACUGCGAGUCCGACUACCACGCCCAGUUCGGCAUCAAGUGCGAGACCUGUGACCGCUACAUCAGCGGCCGCGUCCUGGAGGCAGGAGGGAAGCACUACCACCCCACCUGUGCCAGAUGUGUGCGCUGCCACCAGAUGUUCACAGAGGGAGAGGAGAUGUACCUGACAGGCUCUGAGGUGUGGCACCCCAUCUGCAAGCAGGCAGCCAGAGCAGAGAAGAAGCUGAAGCACAGAAGGACGUCAGAAACCUCCAUCUCGCCCCCUGGCUCCAGCAUUGGCUCCCCAAACCGUGUCAUCUGUGACAUCUACGAGAGCUUUGACCCGAGGCAGAGGCGAGCCUCCAGCCCUGGCUACAUCGACUCCCCCACCUACAGCCGCCAGGGCAUGUCCCCCACCAUCCCCAGGUCCCCCCACCACUUCUACCGCUCAGGCACCGAGAGCGGGCGCAGCUCCCCCUACUAUAGCCAGUUAGAUGUGAGGUCCUCCACUCCAACCUCAUACCAAGCGCCCAAGCAUUUCCACAUCCCAGCUGCUGGCGAGAGCAACAUCUACAGGAAGCCGCCCAUCUACAAGCGGCACGACACCCCCUCUGCAGCCACGAAGAGCAAAACCAGCGAGGACAUUGCUCAGUCAUCCAAGUACAGCCCUGCCUACUCCCCUGACCCCUACUACCACUCCGAGUCAGAGUACUGGUCCUUCCAGGGCUCACCCAAAGCUCCCCGGGCCCGGAGGUUCUCCUCAGGUGGUGAGGAGGAUGGCUAUGACCGGGGCAUGCACAAGAUCCAGAGUGGCAUUGGGAGGCUGAUCCUGAGGGAGGAGAUGAAGGCUCGCUCCCACUCCUACGCAGACCCCUGGACCCCCCCUCGCAGCUCGGCCAGCAGCAGGGAGGCCCUGCACACAGCGGGCUACGAGGGCUCCCUCAAUGGCUCUCCCCGCACCCAUUACCUGGCUGACAGCGAUCCCCUCAUUUCCAAGUCAGCCUCCCUUCCUGCCUACAGGAGGAACGGGCUGCACAGGCCUCCUAGCGCGGAGCUGUUCCACUACGACAGCACCAACGCCGUCAACUGGGGCAUGCGAGAGUACAAGGUAAGACCCUUCUGCUGCAAGGAGAGGCCACCAGCCAGAGCCCCAGGGAUGUGUCCGUGUGUCCCCAGGCUCUUCAGAGGGAAGCUCAGCCCUCUGCAUUUGCUCUGCUCCAUCCUGGACGUGACAGCCCCAUCCCAGGACUGUGGAGCUCACAGCAGAGCCCCUCCCCUCCUGCAGGUCCCAGGUGCUGCUGAGCACUAUUGUCCCCUGGGCGAGGAGCAGAGCAGGGGGUUGUGCUGGUGGUUUCCUCUCACACCCCUGCCUGGGUCAUUCCUGCUUUUGCAGAGUGAGCAGGUUGUCCCAGAGCCACCCUGAGAGCAGCUCCCACCUUUCCCUGUCCCAUCCAAGCCCUGGAGGCAGCUGUGCCACCCAAACCCUGCUAAAUACAGCAGGAGGCCUUGCCCUCAUUCCCAAGGGUGCCCCAAGUGUCUCGUGGCUGCCCCACGGUGUCCCUGUCCCUGUGCAGAUUUACCCCUACGAGCUGCUCCUGGUGAAGACGAGGGGGAGGAACCAGCUGCCCAAAGACGUGGACAGGACUCGGUUAGAGAGGCACCUGUCCCAGGAGGAAUUCUACCAGAUCUUUGGCAUGACCAUGGCCGAGUUCGACCGCCUGGCUCUGUGGAAGAGGAACGAGCUGAAGAAGCAGGCCCGGCUGUUCUAACCCAGUGCACUAUAAAUAUAUACAUACCUAUAAAUAUAUACAUAGAGAGAUCUCUAUAUUGCAGCUCUGUAUGAUUCUGGGGGCUGGACGGGCCACUGGGGCCCUCCCUGCACCCCUGAGAGUGAAUUGGAGUCUUGCAGA